Planococcus citri (citrus mealybug) is the source of this 74-nucleotide non-coding RNA. The record is from the annotation of a RefSeq genome assembly. NCBI's taxonomy places the organism in Eukaryota, Metazoa, Arthropoda, Insecta, Hemiptera, Pseudococcidae.
GCCGUGAUCGUCUAGUGGUCAAGACGUUGCGUUAUUUAAUCGCAAUAACCCAGGUUCGAGUCCUGGUCACGGCA